AUUGAACGCUGGCGGCAUGCCUUACACAUGCAAGUCGAACGGUAACAGGUCUUCGGAUGCUGACGAGUGGCGAACGGGUGAGUAAUACAUCGGAACGUGCCUAGUAGUGGGGGAUAACUACUCGAAAGAGUGGCUAAUACCGCAUGAGAUCUACGGAUGAAAGCAGGGGAUCGCAAGACCUUGUGCUACUAGAGCGGCCGAUGGCAGAUUAGGUAGUUGGUGGGAUAAAAGCUGACCAAGCCGACGAUCUGUAGCUGGUCUGAGAGGACGAUCAGCCACACUGGGACUGAGACACGGCCCAGACUCAUACGGGAGGCAGCAGUGGGGAAUUUUGGACAAGGGGCGCAAGCCUGAUCCAGCAAUGCCGCGUGCAGGAUGAAGGCCUUCGGGUUGUAAACUGCUUUUGUACGGAACGAAAAGCCCCGGGUUAAUACCCUGGGGUCAUGACGGUACCGUAAGAAUAAGCACCGGCCAACUACGUGCCAGCCGCCGCGGUAA
RNAcentral lists this ribosomal RNA (498 nucleotides) under uncultured bacterium. RNAcentral describes it as "partial 16S ribosomal RNA". It matches the Rfam family "Bacterial small subunit ribosomal RNA", at positions 30 to 523 of the family's 1533-position model. The record is from RNAcentral.